GAUGAACGCUGGCGGCGUGCCUAAUACAUGCAAGUCGAGCGAACAGACGAGGAGCUUGCUCCUCUGACGUUAGCGGCGGACGGGUGAGUAACACGUGGAUAACCUACCUAUAAGACUGGGAUAACUUCGGGAAACCGGAGCUAAUACCGGAUAAUAUAUUGAACCGCAUGGUUCAAUAGUGAAAGACGGUUUUGCUGUCACUUAUAGAUGGAUCCGCGCCGCAUUAGCUAGUUGGUAAGGUAACGGCUUACCAAGGCGACGAUGCGUAGCCGACCUGAGAGGGUGAUCGGCCACACUGGAACUGAGACGCGGUCCAGACUCCUACGGGAGGCAGCAGUAGGGAAUCUUCCGCAAUGGGCGAAAGCCUGACGGAGCAACGCCGCGUGAGUGAUGAAGGUCUUCGGAUCGUAAAACUCUGUUAUUAGGGAAGAACAAAUGUGUAAGUAACUAUGCACGUCUUGACGGUACCUAAUCGGAAAGCCACGGCUAACUACGUG
RNAcentral lists this ribosomal RNA (497 nucleotides) under uncultured bacterium. Its description in RNAcentral is "partial 16S ribosomal RNA". It matches the Rfam family "Bacterial small subunit ribosomal RNA", at positions 28 to 507 of the family's 1533-position model. The record is from RNAcentral.